Molecule: unclassified non-coding RNA, 323 nt
Filed under: Hevea brasiliensis (rubber tree)
Lineage: Eukaryota; Viridiplantae; Streptophyta; Magnoliopsida; Malpighiales; Euphorbiaceae
Source: RNAcentral
AUGAUUCAAUAUAUGGUUGAUGGCCACCACUCCCUCUCUUGAUUGAAGAUAUUCAGCAGCAACCAAUGCAGCAGUUCAUCAGAUCACAACAUUUCCUGAGAUUUUCUCACGCAUCGACUCACUCUCUUCCUGAACUCCUCCUUGCUAUCUCUCCAUUGUUUCGCAGCGUCAACAUUGGCAGGAGACUCAUCGUUAGGACUUGAAAGCAUUGAUAUGAUGCUCAAAACAAUGCUUUCUACUGUGUGGACUGGACUCCAUCGCUCAGUCGCAAGCUCAUAGCCAUUUGGGUCAUCGCCAGGUGGAUGAAGAAUUGAUAUGCAAAC